UAGGGAAUCUUCGGCAAUGGACGAAAGUCUGACCGAGCAACGCCGCGUGAGUGAAGAAGGUUUUCGGAUCGUACAACUCUGUUGUUAGAGAAGAACAAGGACGUUAGUAACUGAACGUCCCCUGACGGUAUCUAACCAGAAAGCCACGGCUAACUACGUGCCAGCAGCCGCGGUAAUACGUAGGUGGCAAGCGUUGUCCGGAUUUAUUGGGCGUAAAGCGAGCGCAGGCGGUUUCUUAAGUCUGAUGUGAAAGCCCCCGGCUCAACCGGGGAGGGUCAUUGGAAACUGGGAGACUUGAGUGCAGAAGAGGGGAGUGGAAUUCCAUGUGUAGCGGUGAAAUGCGUAGAUAUAUGGAGGAACACCAGUGGCGAAGGCGGCUCUCUGGUCUGUAACUGACGCUGAGGCUCGAAAGCGUGGGGAGCAAACAGG
RNAcentral lists this ribosomal RNA (429 nucleotides) under Gemmatimonadota bacterium. RNAcentral's name for it is "Gemmatimonadetes bacterium partial 16S ribosomal RNA". It matches the Rfam family "Bacterial small subunit ribosomal RNA", at positions 355 to 776 of the family's 1533-position model. The record is from RNAcentral. Lineage: Bacteria; Pseudomonadati; Gemmatimonadota.